Long non-coding RNA from Alosa sapidissima (American shad), 103 nucleotides. RefSeq lists it as uncharacterized. The record is from RefSeq and is a predicted model, not a curated record. The transcript is spliced from 4 exons. NCBI's taxonomy places the organism in Eukaryota, Metazoa, Chordata, Actinopteri, Clupeiformes, Clupeidae.
ACUUACCUCAGAUCUUACUGUUAGACCUAUUUCCUAGGCCUGUCGCGAUAUUCAAUAAAUCAAUUAAUCGCAUGAUAAUUAAAAUUAGCUCGAUCAUUUUUCU